AUUUGCAGGUUACCACACUAAAUACACACAUCCGAGAGAACGUUUGGUGCAUGAAGAAGAAAGCAGAAGAGUCCUAGGGUGGAGAUGAAGAUGAUAUGAGAUAUGGAAAAUAUCUAGGUCCAAGUGGCCCCUGCAGUGCCAGGUGUCCCCAAAGGAGGGAAUUCCUGCAGACGUGGAAGACUUGCUCUCCUCUGAGAGUUCAGGGAUCUGACUGCAGACCUCGUUGUUGCCAGCUCCUGGUGUGAUGUUGGGCAAGUCAGCAUGCCUUCUCUUACCUCAACGUGCUCAUCAGUAAAUCUGGAUGAACUCUGAGAUCUUUACACAGCUGCUUAACAGCCUAAUUCUGAGGUUUAUUUUUGGUGGCCAGGAACUAGAAAGAAGUCUCUUGGCAAAAUUUUGCUUGUGGACCCUGAAUUUAACGGGAUCCAUGGCAAGGUCAUUGAUAUCUUUAAUCCCCAGAUAUCUCCCAGUAAGUAAACUCAGAUAAUAAAACCGGGAUCUCUAGUUAUUAAGAACAUGGUGUUCUUCAAUCUCUGACUCCAUCUAGAGCCUCCCUCUCUGCUGGGUCCAUCAGGUUCCAAUCGGUGCUAUGGGCCUAUCUGUUGUCCCUCAGGAGCUCCUUGAUCCUGGUUGGGUUACUGUUUGCUUCCAGGGCUGUAAUUCCUACAGAGGGAGCAAACUCAAGAAUACAAUAGUCCUCUAUAUUGGUGGCCUGUGGUCUGGGGUUCGGUGCUUAACCUUUCCCACCUACAGAAAGAAUCUACCUGCCUAACCUGUUCAGGGUGGCAGAAAAAGGUUGUUUGCAUUUCCAACUCCCUGUGGAAUUCAGUUUCCAUGCCUGCUUUUCAGUCCCUCUGCUCAGCCCUAGACUCAUAGCUGAGUAGGUUGGCUGCGGGACCUGAGGAAUUCAUCAAUCUACAAGUUUUCACUAGGGGGAAAUAUCCAUUCCUUAGAAUGAAGAUUGAAGUUUUCCCAGGACUGCCGAAGUAACCGCCGAUGCACAAUGAAAUGCUGUCAAAUUCUCACAGCAAGAAUUUCCCAGAAGGCAACAGAUCUUGGAAUAUGGGAAAUGGACCAAGGAGAAGCCUUAAAGAAUGGACAAGUACAUUCUAGCAGCUUGUGUAGUCUACAUAAAGAAAAGGGCUCUCAGAUCUCAUCGGCUCACUUCAAUAACCAGGCCUGAGUGUCUAUUCCAUGCUAGGCACUGGGCCUUUAGUCAACAGGGCAGAAGGAACUUCAUGAGCAAAACUCAGAGGUAGGAAAUAGCAUGGGGUAUGCGGGGACUGCCAAGCCCUUGGCGUUGGUGGAAGGUGAGUCAGUGGGCGGCAGGAGAUGUGCCUAUGGAGGUAAGCAGAGGCCAGAGGAUGGAGAACCUACAUCAAGAAACAUAGGAUUUUUAAGUUUGGGAUUGAAAUGGUACCUCGGCACUUGCUCCAUCCCUAGGGCUCUGACUGCCCUGGCGGCUGUGACAUUUGCUGCAACAAGAUCUGUUUUUCAGGGUCCUCGCUGAUCUCUGAAAAUCCGCUGUGUGCUGCUCACAUUUUCAGACUUAGCAAUGCUGAUGAGACACUUUCUAGAGAUCCACGGCAAACAGGAGGGAGAAACUAGCCCCAGGCAGACAUCCCCAUGUUUGGUGUCACCUCCAGGUGCUACAGAAGAACGGCUGCAGCAAGGACAAUUGAUCCACUGGGUCAAGGUAGUGGUGUUCAUGUUCUUUCUGAAUGUGCAGCACUUGCUGACAAUGCUGGGCUGGUGCCGGAGAGCCAACUGGUUCUUUCCAUCAUUCCUCCCACUGGUGGACUUGGACGGCCCCAGAGCCCUGUGACCCAGCUUGAAGAGCCACCCCCUAGCUGCUGGAUCCUGAAGUCCCUGCCACUGUGAACUGCAGUGUACAAAUCAGGUGACCCUAUUUAACCUGGCAAUGAAAGGUCUUGGCAGCAGAAGCAGAGCAGUAUGGGUUGGUACAUAAACACAGGAAUUUUAAAAAAAGGCUCAUACCAGUUUGAAAAGAGCAGGUAGAAUCCAUCAAAAAGGCAAAAUCUAAAACUAGCAGGAAGAGCUGUCUCCCAUCGUGUGAGAGGGACUGCCAACAAAGAUUUUGUUCAAAUAAGAGAAUUAUUAAGAAAUAGAUGACCAAGAACUUUUAAAAUCAAUGACGGAUGUUUGUUUUCCAG
RNAcentral lists this long non-coding RNA (2174 nucleotides) under Equus asinus (donkey). RNAcentral describes it as "lncRNA (ENSEASG00005028000.1)". The record is from RNAcentral. Lineage: Eukaryota; Metazoa; Chordata; Mammalia; Perissodactyla; Equidae.